GGUAUGAGAUGGACCCGCGUCUGAUUAGCUAGUUGGUAAGGUAAGGGCUUACCAAGGCGACGAUCAGUAGCCGACCUGAGAGGGUGAUCGGCCACAUUGGGACUGAGACACGGCCCAAACUCCUACGGGAGGCAGCAGUGGGGAAUAUUGCACAAUGGGGGAAACCCUGAUGCAGCGACGCCGCGUGAGUGAUGAAGUAUUUCGGUAUGUAAAGCUCUAUCAGCAGGGAAGAAAAUGACGGUACCUGACUAAGAAGCACCGGCUAAAUACGUGCCAGCAGCCGCGGUAAUACGUAUGGUGCAAGCGUUAUCCGGAUUUACUGGGUGUAAAGGGAGCGUAGACGGAGAGGCAAGUCUGAUGUGAAAACCCGGGGCUCAACCCCGGGACUGCAUUGGAAACUGUUUUUCUAGAGUGUCGGAGAGGCAAGUGGAAUUCCUAGUGUAGCGGUGAAAUGCGUAGAUAUUAGGAGGAACACCAGUGGCGAAGGCGGCUUGCUGGACGACGACUGACGUUGAGGCUCGAAAGCGUGGGGAGCAAACAGGAUUAGAUACCCUGGUAGUCCACGCCGUAAACGAGGAUUAAUUAGGUUUCGGGGGGCAAAACCAUUCGGUGCCGCAGCAAACGCAAUAAUAGUCCCACUGGGGAGUACGUUCGCAAGAAAGAAACUCAAAAGGAAUUGACGGGGACCCGCACAAGCGGUGGAGCAUGUGGUUUAAUUCGAAGCAACGCGAAGAACCUUACCUGCUCUUGACAUCCCCCUGACCGUCCCUUAAUCGGGGCUUUCCUUCGGGACAGGGGAGACAGGUGGUGCAUGGUUGUCGUCAGCUCGUGUCGUGAGAUGUAGGGUUAAGUCCCGCAACGAGCGCAACCCCUAUCUUUAGUAGCCAGCGGCCAGGCCGGGCACUCUAGAGAGACUGCCAGGGAUAACCUGGAGGAAGGUGGGGAUGACGUCAAAUCAUCAUGCCCCUUAUGAGCAGGGCUACACACGUGCUACAAUGGCGUAAACAAAGGGAGGCAGAGCCGCGGGGCCGAGCAAAUCUCAAAAAUAACGUCUCAGUUCGGAUUGUAGUCUGCAACUCGACUACAUGAAGCUGGAAUCGCUAGUAAUCGCGAAUCAGAAUGUCGCGGUGAAUACGUUCCCGGGUCUUGCACUCACGGCCCGUC
This 1164-nucleotide ribosomal RNA is filed under the name uncultured bacterium. RNAcentral's name for it is "bacterial SSU rRNA". It matches the Rfam family "Bacterial small subunit ribosomal RNA", at positions 217 to 1398 of the family's 1533-position model. The record is from RNAcentral.